Long non-coding RNA from Chinchilla lanigera (long-tailed chinchilla), 409 nucleotides. RefSeq lists it as uncharacterized. The transcript has 3 exons. Lineage: Eukaryota; Metazoa; Chordata; Mammalia; Rodentia; Chinchillidae. The record is from RefSeq and is a predicted model, not a curated record.
GAAGGCUGCAAGACCGACGGACUCACAACCCCGCUCCUGGCCUGGCUGUGCGCCGGGGCCGGCCCCGCCCACUUCCCUUGCCAGGGACGCCUGGAUUGAUGGGCUGAGUUGUGCAGUGCCACCACAGGAGACGGGGACAUACCAACCUGGAGCAGACCCAGUGGGAAGCUGAGGCCUGAGGACCGCACAGUCUAGAGGACAAGGACAGGCUGUUGCUGACCUUGGGUGCGCCUUGCCGUCUUCCCUCCUUAUUUCCUGGAAGAGAAGUCCCUUUCAGCACCCUGGACAGCGUCCCAGUUCCCGAGAUACCACUGAGGCCCAGGAAGGAAUAACUUGCAGGAGUCAGCAGCUACAAAAUAUUUCCCAGUUUUUUUUUUUUCCCCCCCGGUACCAGGAAUCGAACUCAAGA